Molecule: unclassified non-coding RNA, 378 nt
Filed under: fungal sp.
Lineage: Eukaryota; Fungi
Description: partial internal transcribed spacer region
Rfam family: Eukaryotic small subunit ribosomal RNA (bases 1-46)
Source: RNAcentral
AAGUCGUAACAAGGUAACCGUAGGUGAACCUGCGGUUGGAUCAUUAUUGAAUCAACUUAUAAGUUUGGUCAAAAAGGUUUUAGGAAGAAGGGGAGGAAAAGGUGCAAAUCUCUCCUCCCCCCUUACUUUACUUCUUUGUUCCAAAUCUUACACCCAAACCUUGUGAAUAAUACUAAAAUUGGUAUUUGGAGUUACUUGUUGCUUUAGUUUGUCAUGAACGAAAAAGCAAAGCUGAGGACUCCUACUUAUGAUUAUAAACAUUUAUUUUUAUACAAAUUCUCUUAUUAUACGAAGCCUUAACUCUUUAAGUAGAGUAGUAGAUUUUCGUUAAAGUUUUUAAUAUUAAAAAAACUUUUGACAAUGGAUCUCUUGGCUCUC